RNAcentral lists this ribosomal RNA (444 nucleotides) under Dermacentor nuttalli. RNAcentral describes it as "partial 16S ribosomal RNA". The record is from RNAcentral. Lineage: Eukaryota; Metazoa; Arthropoda; Arachnida; Ixodida; Ixodidae.
UUUUAAAUUGCUGUAGUAUUUUGACUAUACAAAGGUAUUGUAAUAAGGUUUUAAUUGAAUGCUAAAAGAAUGGAAUUACAGGGAAAAGUUUUUUUAAAUUUAAUAAUUGAAGUUAUUUUAAUUUGUGAAGAAACAAUUAUAUAAAUUAAAGACAAGAAGACCCUAAGAAUUUAAGAAUUUUUAUUAAUAUAUUAUAUGUAUAUAUAUAUAUAAAUAAAAUUCUUAGUUGGGGCAACUAAAAAAUAUAUUAAACUUUUUUUUUAAAAAAAUGACCCAUUAUUAAUGAUAAUAUGAAAAAAAUACUCUAGGGAUAACAGCGUAAUAAUUUUUGAUAGAUCUUAUAGACAAAAUAGUUUGCGACCUCGAUGUUGGAUUAGGAUACUUUUUUAAUGAAGAUGUUAAAAAAAGAAGUUUGUUCAACUUUUAAAUUCCUACUUGAUCUGG